AGUAACGCGUGGGUAACCUGCCUCGUACAGGGGGAUAACAGUUAGAAAUGACUGCUAAUACCGCAUGAGCGCACAGUGCUGCAUGGCACAGUGUGAAAAGCUCCGGUGGUAUGAGAUGGACCCGCGUCUGAUUAGGUAGUUGGUGGGGUAACGGCCUACCAAGCCGACGAUCAGUAGCCGACCUGAGAGGGUGACCGGCCACAUUGGGACUGAGACACGGCCCAA
RNAcentral lists this ribosomal RNA (225 nucleotides) under uncultured bacterium. RNAcentral describes it as "partial 16S ribosomal RNA". It matches the Rfam family "Bacterial small subunit ribosomal RNA", at positions 109 to 334 of the family's 1533-position model. The record is from RNAcentral.